This 442-nucleotide ribosomal RNA is filed under the name uncultured bacterium. Its description in RNAcentral is "partial 16S ribosomal RNA". It matches the Rfam family "Bacterial small subunit ribosomal RNA", at positions 338 to 795 of the family's 1533-position model. The record is from RNAcentral.
CCUACGGGAGGCAGCAGUAGGGAAUCUUUCACAAUGGGCGAAAGCCUGAUGGAGCAACGCCGCGUGCAGGAUGAAGGCCUUCGGGUUGUAAACUGCUUUUAUAAGCGAGAAAUAUGAUGGUAACUUAUGAAUAAGGAUCGGCUAACUACGUGCCAGCAGCCGCGGUCAUACGUAGGAUGCGAGCAUUAUCCGGAGUGACUGGGUGUAAAGAGUUGCGUAGGUGGCAUAAUAAGUAGCUAGUGAAAUCUGGUGGCUCAACCAUUCAGACUAUUAGCUAAACUGUUAAGCUCGAGACCGUUAGGGGUAACUGGAAUUUCUAGUGUAGGAGUGAAAUCCGUAGAUAUUAGAAGGAACACCGAUAGCGUAGGCAGGUUGCUGGGACGGUUCUGACACUAAGGCACGAAAGCGUAGGGAGCAAACGGGAUUAGAUACCCUUGUAGUC